AUGGAUAAGGGCCUCUUCGCCAACGACGGCUCCUUCAUGGAGAGAUUCAAGCAGAUGCAGCAGGAGAUGCAGGACAAGGAGAAGCCCGUGGCCCCCGCCGCCGCUGGCGCUGUCUCCUCUGCGCCGGCCAAGCCUGUCAACCCCAAGACGCCUCUUGUCAUUGCGGCAAACAAAAGGCCGCUCGAGGUGAAGAAGGCUGGCUCGGUCUUGUCGGGUGGGAAGCUGGCCUUUAGCCUCAAGAAGAACAAGAUCCCCAUUGUGCCUGUCAAGUUUGGAGCCGAUGAGGACGACGAAGACGACGUUGCUGGUGUGGAGAGGGGGGAUCAUGCAAAGCGGCACAAGUCCAUUGAUGCUCCCUCAGCUGCUGCCCCAGCUAGGGUUGUUGCCUCAGCACCACCAAAUGAUAUGACAGUGAGGCAGGUUGCUGACAAAUUAGCAAGCUUUGUUGCCAAAAAUGGGAGACAGUUCGAGGAUAUUACACGCCAGAAGAAUCCUGGAGAUUCACCAUUCAAGUUUCUGUUUGAUAAGAACUGUUCAGACUACAAAUAUUACGAGACUCGGCUUGCUGAAGAGGAAAAGGUGCAUGCUCAAACAAAGGAUGCUCAGGCUUCAAAAAUUGUUAAUUCAAGCACUGCAAGCUCCAUAGCACAUACUGGUGCACAGAGAAGCUCAUUUGAACAAAGGUCUAACUAUCAAACACCUGCUUCUGCUUUAUAUGGUGCAUAUGAAGGUAGUUCUUCCCAGGGAAGCUCAUCUAGUCAUGGUGGUCAAAGUAUGUCUGCACCCUCAGAUCCAGUAGCAUUGAUGGAAUUCUACAUGAAGAAAGCUGCACAGGAAGAACGGAAGAGACCACCAAGGCAGUCAAAAGACGAAAUGCCACCACCUCCAUGCCUUAUUCAGGGUCCUCCUAAGAAGGGACACCACAUGGGGGACUUCAUUCCACAAGAAGAACUCGAGAAGUUCAUGGCACGCUGUAAUGAUGCUGCAGCACAAAAGGCUACCAAAGAAGCUGCAGAGAAGGCUAAGAUUCAGGCCGAUAAUAUUGGGCACAAGCUUCUGUCUAAGAUGGGCUGGAGGGAAGGUGAGGGUCUUGGCAGCGAGAGAAGUGGCCGUGCAGAUCCCAUUAUGGCUGGAGAUGUGAAACAGGACCACCUUGGUGUUGGUGCUAUCCAACCUGGUGAGGUGUCAUCUGAAGAUGACAUCUACGAGCAAUACAAGAAGCGAAUGAUGCUAGGCUACCGCCAUAGGCCAAACCCACUGAACAACCCAAGGAAACAAUACUACUGA
RNAcentral lists this ribosomal RNA (1287 nucleotides) under Triticum aestivum (bread wheat). RNAcentral describes it as "partial small subunit ribosomal RNA". Lineage: Eukaryota; Viridiplantae; Streptophyta; Magnoliopsida; Poales; Poaceae. The record is from RNAcentral.